RNAcentral lists this ribosomal RNA (832 nucleotides) under uncultured Halobacterium sp. Its description in RNAcentral is "bacterial SSU rRNA". It matches the Rfam family "Archaeal small subunit ribosomal RNA", at positions 384 to 1213 of the family's 1478-position model. The record is from RNAcentral. Lineage: Archaea; Methanobacteriati; Methanobacteriota; Halobacteria; Halobacteriales; Halobacteriaceae.
AGUGUGGAGGCAUAGAGCCUUCACUUUUGUACACCGUAAGGUGGUGCACGAAUAAGGACUGGCAAGACCGGUGCCAGCCGCCGCGGUAAUACCGGCAGUCCGAGUGAUGGCCGAUCUUAUUGGGCCUAAAGCGUCCGUAGCUGGCUGAACAAGUCCGUUGGGAAAUCUGUCCGCUUAACGGGCAGGCGUCCAGCGGAAACUGUUCAGCUUGGGACCGGAAGACCUGAGGGGUACGUCUGGGGUAGGAGUGAAAUCCUGUAAUCCUGGACGGACCGCCGGUGGCGAAAGCGCCUCAGGAGAACGGAUCCGACAGAGAGGGACGAAAGCUAGGGUCUCGAACCGGAUUAGAUACCCGGGUAGUCCUAGCUGUAAACGAUGUCCGCUAGGUGUGGCGCAGGCUACGAGCCUGCGCUGUGCCGUAGGGAAGCCGAGAAGCGGACCGCCUGGGAAGUACGUCUGCAAGGAUGAAACUUAAAGGAAUUGGCGGGGGAGCACUACAACCGGAGGAGCCUGCGGUUUAAUUGGACUCAACGCCGGACAUCUCACCAGCCCCGACAGUAGUAAUGACGGUCAGGUUGAUGACCUUACCCGAGGCUACUAAGAGGAGGUGCAUGGCCGCCGUCAGCUCGUACCGUGAGGCGUCCUGUUAAGUCAGGCAACGAGCGAGACCCGCACUCCUAAUUGCCAGCAGUGCCCUUUGGGUAGCUGGGUACAUUAGGUGGACUGCCGCUGCCAAAGCGGAGGAAGGAACGGGCAACGGUAGGUCAGUAUGCCCCGAAUGGGCUGGGCAACACGCGGGCUACAAUGGUCGAGACAAUGGGAAGCCACUCCG